Molecule: transfer RNA, 105 nt
Filed under: Vibrio sp. MED222
Lineage: Bacteria; Pseudomonadati; Pseudomonadota; Gammaproteobacteria; Vibrionales; Vibrionaceae
Also listed under: 1 other name
Description: tRNA-Met
Source: RNAcentral
CGUACUGUGGGGCAUCGGCGAGCCAAUCAAACUGUUCAUGCGAGUUCCUAGCUUCAAUGGCUGGCGCAUCUAAGAUGGUUCUAGGCACAAUCCUUGGCGGUAUGA